CCAUCGGUAGCACAGUGGUUAGUGUAAUCUGCCGGAAACAGAAGGACGCGGGUUCGAUUCCCCUCCGAUGUU
This 72-nucleotide transfer RNA is filed under the name Nippostrongylus brasiliensis. It matches the Rfam family "tRNA". From Rfam's summary of the family: Transfer RNA (tRNA) molecules are approximately 80 nucleotides in length. Lineage: Eukaryota; Metazoa; Nematoda; Chromadorea; Rhabditida; Heligmosomidae. The record is from Rfam by way of RNAcentral.